AGUGAACGCUGGCGGUAGGCCUAACACAUGCAAGUCGAACGGCAGCACGGUAAGAGCUUGCUCUUACGGGUGGCGAGUGGCGGACGGGUGAGGAAUACAUCGGAAUCUACUUUUUCGUGGGGGAUAACGUAGGGAAACUUACGCUAAUACCGCAUACGACCUACGGGUGAAAGCAGGGGAUCUUCGGACCUUGCGCGAUUGAAUGAGCCGAUGUCGGAUUAGCUAGUUGGCGGGGUAAAGGCCCACCAAGGCGACGAUCCGUAGCUGGUCUGAGAGGAUGAUCAGCCACACUGGAACUGAGACACGGUCCAGACUCCUACGGGAGGCAGCAGUGGGGAAUAGUGGACAAUGGGCGCAAGCCUGAUCCAGCCAUACCGCGUGGGUGAAGAAGGCCUUCGGGUUGUAAAGCCCUUUUGUUGGGAAAGAAGAGCAGCAGGUUAAUACCCCGCUGUUCUGACGGUACCCAAAGAAUAAGCACCGGCUAACUUCGUG
This 492-nucleotide ribosomal RNA is filed under the name uncultured bacterium. RNAcentral's name for it is "partial 16S ribosomal RNA". It matches the Rfam family "Bacterial small subunit ribosomal RNA", at positions 29 to 507 of the family's 1533-position model. The record is from RNAcentral.